Non-coding RNA from Caenorhabditis elegans, 286 nucleotides. The record is from Ensembl. Lineage: Eukaryota; Metazoa; Nematoda; Chromadorea; Rhabditida; Rhabditidae.
UAAUAAUCUCAUACGAUUUACGAUGUAGUUCAAGCAUGAACUCAAAGUGACAUAAUCGGAGGCGCGCUGGUGAGUGUGAGCAACACUUUGCUCUUCUUGUCCAGCAAAGGGCAUGUAAGGGACAUUAAUGGAAUUUUUAAGAGCGUGAAGCGCAAGAAUCUCACUGCCAGAAUGCGAAAGUAGGAAAUCUGCAAAAAAGAGGAAACGUCGAAAAACUGUUUCAUCGAAAAUUCAUAGAGCUAAAAAUCCCACGAUUUCUUAGUACAAGGAACUCGAGCUUCAAGAA